GAUCUCCCGCUUGCGGGGGUGAUUAGUGGCGAACGGGUGAGUAAUACGUGAGUAACCUGCCCUUGACUCUGGGAUAAGCCUGGGAAACCGGGUCUAAUACUGGAUACGACCCUUCAUCGCAUGGUGGGGGGUGGAAAGGGUUUGACUGGUUUUGGAUGGGCUCACGGCCUAUCAGCUUGUUGGUGGGGUAAUGGCUCACCAAGGCGACGACGGGUAGCCGGCCUGAGAGGGUGACCGGCCACACUGGGACUGAGACACGGCCCAGACUCCUACGGGAGGCAGCAGUGGGGAAUAUUGCACAAUGGGCGGAAGCCUGAUGCAGCGACGCCGCGUGAGGGAUGACGGCCUUCGGGUUGUAAACCUCUUUCAGCAGGGAAGAAGCCACAAGUGACGGUACCUGCAGAAGAAGCGCCGGCUAACUACGUGCCAGCAGCCGCGGUAAUACGUAGGGCGCAAGCGUUGUCCGGAAUUAUUGGGCGUAAAGAGCUCGUAGGCGGUUUGUCGCGUCUGCUGUGAAAGCCCGGGGCUCAACCCCGGGUCUGCAGUGGGUACGGGCAGACUAGAGUGCAGUAGGGGAGACUGGAAUUCCUGGUGUAGCGGUGAAAUGCGCAGAUAUCAGGAGGAACACCGAUGGCGAAGGCAGGUCUCUGGGCUGUUACUGACGCUGAGGAGCGAAAGCAUGGGGAGCGAACAGGAUUAGAUACCCUGGUAGUCCAUGCCGUAAACGUUGGGCACU
This 736-nucleotide ribosomal RNA is filed under the name Kocuria rosea. Its description in RNAcentral is "bacterial SSU rRNA". It matches the Rfam family "Bacterial small subunit ribosomal RNA", at positions 70 to 817 of the family's 1533-position model. The record is from RNAcentral. Lineage: Bacteria; Bacillati; Actinomycetota; Actinomycetes; Micrococcales; Micrococcaceae.